GGACCCGCACAAGUAGUGGAGUAUGUGGUUUAAUUCGAUGCAACGCGAAGAACCUUACCAGGGUUUGACAUCCUGCGAAUCUCUUGGAAACGAGAGAGUGCCUUCGGGAACGCAGUGACAGGUGGUGCAUGGCUGUCGUCAGCUCGUGUCGUGAGAUGUUGGUUAAGUCCCGCAACGAGCGCAACCCACGUCUUUAGUUGCCAGCAUUUAGUUGGGCACUCUAGAGAGACUGCCGGUGAUAAACCGGAGGAAGGUGUGGAUGACGUCAAGUCAUCAUGCCCCUUACAUCCUGGGCUACACACGUGCUACAAUGGUAGUGACAAUGGGUUAAUCCCAAAAAGCUAUCU
This 347-nucleotide ribosomal RNA is filed under the name uncultured bacterium. RNAcentral describes it as "bacterial SSU rRNA". It matches the Rfam family "Bacterial small subunit ribosomal RNA", at positions 917 to 1288 of the family's 1533-position model. The record is from RNAcentral.